This 492-nucleotide ribosomal RNA is filed under the name uncultured bacterium. Its description in RNAcentral is "partial 16S ribosomal RNA". It matches the Rfam family "Bacterial small subunit ribosomal RNA", at positions 29 to 507 of the family's 1533-position model. The record is from RNAcentral.
AGUGAACGCUGGCGGUAGGCCUAACACAUGCAAGUCGAACGGCAGCACAGUAAGAGCUUGCUCUUACGGGUGGCGAGUGGCGGACGGGUGAGGAAUACAUCGGCAUCUACUUUUUCGUGGGGGAUAACGUAGGGAAACUUACGCUAAUACCGCAUACGACCUACGGGUGAAAGCAGGGGAUCUUCGGACCUUGCGCGAUUGAAUGAGCCGAUGUCGGAUUAGCUAGUUGGCGGGGUAAAGGCCCACCAAGGCGACGAUCCGUAGCUGGUCUGAGAGGAUGAUCAGCCACACUGGAACUGAGACACGGUCCAGACUCCUACGGGAGGCAGCAGUGGGGAAUAUUGGACAAUGGGCGCAAGCCUGAUCCAGCCAUACCGCGUGGGUGAAGAAGGCCUUCGGGUUGUAAAGCCCUUUUGUUGGGAAAGAAAAGCAGCAGGUUAAUACCCCGCGGUUCUGACGGUACCCAAAGAAUAAGCACCGGCUAACUUCGUG